Molecule: long non-coding RNA, 523 nt
Filed under: Homo sapiens (human)
Lineage: Eukaryota; Metazoa; Chordata; Mammalia; Primates; Hominidae
Description: myosin heavy chain gene cluster antisense RNA
Source: RNAcentral
UUUCUCUCUUCGCCUGCUGCCGUCCAUGUAAGAUGGGACUUGCUCCUCCUUGCCUUCCACCAUGAUUGUGAGGCUUCCUCAGCCACGUGGAACUAUGCCCUGACCUUCCGGGAAACCCUCGGUGAGAGGCCCACAGCCUCGCUUCUAGGGUCACCACUGCUUCUUCCAGUCUAGCCAAACAGCUCCUAGUACAGCUCAGAGCACCCUGCAAGGAGGGCACGUGUUAAAUCGAGGAGCACACAUGCUCCACGAGGAAUUCUUUGCUUUGAGGCCAUGCACAGAGGUGGGUUCACUAUGAAGCUUGUGAAAUAAGCUUCAGGGCCCGCAUUUGCAUGGGCCACAGAGAGUCUGGGAGCUGCAGAAGGUUCAAGGGAAGAGGAGCCAUCACAAGCAGAAUAUUCUAGAAGGCAUUUCUGGCAAAUGGCCCAAAGAGGCCUCAGGAGAAAAGAACUUGAGUCUUCAAGGUAACCUGCGACUUUUUUGUCUCAUUUUAAAUAUCAACUUUCAUGCCUAAUUUUUAUAA